GAUGAACGCUGGCGGCGUGCCUAAUACAUGCAAGUCGAGCGAACAGACGAGGAGCUUGCUCCUCUGACGUUAGCGGCGGACGGGUGAGUAACACGUGGAUAACCUACCUAUAAGACUGGGAUAACUUCGGGAAACCGGAGCUAAUACCGGAUAAUAUAUUGAACCGCAUGGUUCAAUAGUGAAAGACGGUUUUGCUGUCACUUAUAGAUGGAUCCGCGCCGCAUUAGCUAGUUGGUAAGGUAACGGCUUACCAAGGCAACGAUGCGUAGCCGACCUGAGAGGGUGAUCGGCCAAACUGGACCUGAGACCCGGUCCAGACUCCUACGGGAGGCAGCAGUGGGGAAUCUUCCGCAAUGGGCGAAAGCCUGACGGAGCAACGCCGCGUGAGUGAUGAGGGUCUUCGGAUCGUAAAACUCUGUUAUUAGGGAAGAACAAAUGUGUAAGUAACUAUGCACGUCUUGACGGUACCUAAUCAGAAAGCCACGGCUAACUACGU
This 496-nucleotide ribosomal RNA is filed under the name uncultured bacterium. RNAcentral describes it as "partial 16S ribosomal RNA". It matches the Rfam family "Bacterial small subunit ribosomal RNA", at positions 28 to 506 of the family's 1533-position model. The record is from RNAcentral.